ACGAAACCUAUCCCAUUGGCUGUGCUCUAGCCAAGAGGAGGUUGUUAUAAACAUCCAGUCAGAUCUUCGGAAACGCAUUUAAGCUCAGACCUUGGGGUCUGUUACCCCCAAAAUUUGCUUCUGGCCAAGAUUGCGGCAGCUGUGUUAGGAGGAGCCUGCCCGUGGUGGCUGUGCCCACGGUGUUGGGCUCCAUGGGCUUCCCCGGGCAGGAAUCGCCGCCUCCUCGCUGGUGGCCAAGAUGAAGUCCUCAGCUGCCAUUGCCAAAGGGGGUGGAGUCGCCACCGGCAGCCUGGUGGCUACGCUGCAGUCCGUGGGAGCAGCUGGCCUCUCACUGUCAUCCAAGGUCAUCCUGAGCAUCGCUGGAUCUGUCCUCAUGUCCCGCAUGGUGGGCUUGUACUAGUUUCCCACCUCUCCACCUGCAGAGAAGAGGGCCAGGUGGAGCCCCGCCCACCAGGCAGAUGCAGGGAGGGACCAGUCCCUGGGUGACACUGCACCCCCGGAGGAAAAUAAAGAAUAAAAAUUGUUGUUGCAAGCC
Molecule: long non-coding RNA, 535 nt
Organism: Canis lupus familiaris (dog)
Lineage: Eukaryota; Metazoa; Chordata; Mammalia; Carnivora; Canidae
Exons: 4
Source: RefSeq, a predicted model, not a curated record